ACGACCAUACCCACUGGAAUAUACGGGAUCCCGUCCGCUCUCCCCUAGUCAAACCAGUGAGGGCCGAACUAGUACUCAGGUGGGUGACCACUGGGGAAUCCUCGGUGUUGUAUGUG
This 116-nucleotide ribosomal RNA is filed under the name Pyricularia oryzae 70-15. Lineage: Eukaryota; Fungi; Ascomycota; Sordariomycetes; Magnaporthales; Pyriculariaceae. The record is from RNAcentral.